This 73-nucleotide transfer RNA is filed under the name Bacteroidota bacterium. Its description in RNAcentral is "tRNA-Arg". It matches the Rfam family "tRNA". Rfam says of the family: Transfer RNA (tRNA) molecules are approximately 80 nucleotides in length. Their secondary structure includes four short double-helical elements and three loops (D, anti-codon, and T loops). Further hydrogen bonds mediate the characteristic L-shaped molecular structure. tRNAs have two regions of fundamental functional importance: the anti-codon, which is responsible for specific mRNA codon recognition, and the 3' end, to which the tRNAs corresponding amino acid is attached (by aminoacyl-tRNA synthetases). tRNAs cope with the degeneracy of the genetic code in two manners: having more than one tRNA (with a specific anti-codon) for a particular amino acid; and 'wobble' base-pairing, i.e. permitting non-standard base-pairing at the 3rd anti-codon position. Lineage: Bacteria; Pseudomonadati; Bacteroidota. The record is from RNAcentral.
GGUCCUAUAGUUUAACUGGAUAGAAUGAGAGAUUCCGGUUCUCUUGGUGGGGGUUCGAGUCCUCCUAGGAUCA